This 253-nucleotide ribosomal RNA is filed under the name uncultured bacterium. RNAcentral's name for it is "partial 16S ribosomal RNA". It matches the Rfam family "Bacterial small subunit ribosomal RNA", at positions 524 to 776 of the family's 1533-position model. The record is from RNAcentral.
UACGAGAGGCGCAAACGUUGUUCGGAAUUACUGGGCGUAAAGGGCUCGUAGGUGGCCAACUAAGUCAUACGUGAAAUCCCUCGGCUUAACCGGGGAACUGCGCCUGAUACUGGUUGGCUUGAGUUUGGGAGAGGGACGCGGAAUUCCAGGUGUAGCGGUGAAAUGCGUAGAUAUCUGGAGGAACACCGGUGGCGAAGGCGGCGUCCUGGACCAAUACUGACACUGAGGAGCGAAAGCCAGGGGAGCAAACGGG